GGGGGUGUAGCUCAGUGGUAGAGAGCUUACCUGGCAUGCAGGAGACCCUGAGUUUGAAUCUCAGCAUUACCA
Molecule: transfer RNA, 72 nt
Filed under: Ictidomys tridecemlineatus (thirteen-lined ground squirrel)
Lineage: Eukaryota; Metazoa; Chordata; Mammalia; Rodentia; Sciuridae
Description: Spermophilus tridecemlineatus (thirteen-lined ground squirrel) tRNA
Rfam family: tRNA
About the family: Transfer RNA (tRNA) molecules are approximately 80 nucleotides in length. Their secondary structure includes four short double-helical elements and three loops (D, anti-codon, and T loops).
Source: Rfam by way of RNAcentral